CAGUAGCCGCGGUAAUACGGAGGGUGCAGGCGUUAAUCGGAAUUACUGGGCGUAAAGCGCACGCAGGCGGUCUGACAAGUCAGAUGUGAAAUCCCCGGGCUUAACCUGGGAACUGCAUUUGAAACUGUCAGGCUGGAGUCUUGUAGAGGGGGGUGGAAUUCCAGGUGUAGCGGUGAAAUGCGUAGAGAUCUGGAGGAAUACCGGUGGCGAAGGCGGCCCUCUGGACAAAGACUGACGCUCAGGUGCGAAAGCGUGGGGAGCAAACAGGAUUAGAUACCCGCGUAGUCCCUGUCUCUUAUAC
RNAcentral lists this ribosomal RNA (301 nucleotides) under uncultured bacterium. RNAcentral's name for it is "partial 16S ribosomal RNA". It matches the Rfam family "Bacterial small subunit ribosomal RNA", at positions 509 to 807 of the family's 1533-position model. The record is from RNAcentral.